UGGGGAAUUUUGCACAAUGGGGGGAACCUUGAUGCAGCGACGCCGCGUGAGGGAUGGAGGCCUUCGGGUUGUGAACCUCUUUCGCUCGUGUGCAAGCCGCUAUUUGGGUAGUGGUGAGUGUAGCGGGUAAAGAAGCGCCGGCUAACUACGUGCCAGCAGCCGCGGUAAUACGUAGGGCGCGAGCGUUGUCCGGAUUUAUUGGGCGUAAAGGGCUUGUAGGCGGUUUGUCGCGCCUGUCGUGUAAUCCUCUGGCUUAACUGGGGGUGUGCGGUGGGUACGGGCAGGCUUGAGUGCGGUAGGGGAGAUUGGAAUUCCUGGUGUAGCGGUGGAAUGCGCAGAUAUCAGGAGGAACACCGGUGGCGAAGGCGGGUCUCUGGGCCAUUACUGACGCUGAGGAGCGAAAGCGUGGGGAGCGAACAGG
This 421-nucleotide ribosomal RNA is filed under the name Fusobacteriota bacterium. Its description in RNAcentral is "Fusobacteria bacterium partial 16S ribosomal RNA". It matches the Rfam family "Bacterial small subunit ribosomal RNA", at positions 355 to 776 of the family's 1533-position model. The record is from RNAcentral. Lineage: Bacteria; Fusobacteriati; Fusobacteriota.